UCUUUAGUAGCUCAGUUUGGCAGAGCGGGUGGCUGUUAACCAUUAGGACGUUGGUUCGAACCCAACCUAAAGAG
RNAcentral lists this transfer RNA (74 nucleotides) under Toxarium undulatum. RNAcentral's name for it is "tRNA-Asn". It matches the Rfam family "tRNA". Rfam says of the family: Transfer RNA (tRNA) molecules are approximately 80 nucleotides in length. Their secondary structure includes four short double-helical elements and three loops (D, anti-codon, and T loops). Lineage: Eukaryota; Bacillariophyta; Thalassiosirophyceae; Ardissoneales; Ardissoneaceae. The record is from RNAcentral.